UAAUAAUAAUAAGCCCGCAGGGCAGCUUGUGGCGAGCUGUUGGGGAGUAACGACCCCACGGACCCGAGUGCUCCCGAGAGUCGGUCAGGGUCUCCGUCUCCGGCGUGUCUUCGUCGGUCGGAGUGGACCCCAAGGGGACCCGCAGGACUCUCAGCUCUGGCUUGCCUUCAUUGGCCGUCCAGAGAGGAGUCGUUAGAGCUAUAUGCUCCAGGGGUGGAAGUGAAAGAUGCAUAAGACGCGAGUUGGCACAGUGGCUGUUAUUUCGGGGGCCCACCUAGUUAGUGGCAAGUCACCGCCUGCCUCGAUAACGUGUAGAACCAUUGUUAUGGCAGGUGUCCGGACCUUUCGGCAAUAGCCCAAUCUUUUGACCAGCCAAACUUCAACACCAUAACCGGCACUCUUCUCCACUGCAUUUACAAUAGCUCCUAUGCCAGCUGGGACCGAUUUACGGGUAUCUAUUUGUACCCGUGAAUGGGUUCUAGCUGGUGUAUUACAUAACAUCAAACUUGUCUUAAAGGGCCUCUGUGCUGUUGGCUUCGGCCCCACGCAUGCCUCCCAAAGGUCCGGGACCCCAUGGUCCCGAGAUAUGGAAAGACAUACAAA
Cydia fagiglandana is the source of this 603-nucleotide long non-coding RNA. RefSeq lists it as uncharacterized. Lineage: Eukaryota; Metazoa; Arthropoda; Insecta; Lepidoptera; Tortricidae. The transcript is spliced from 2 exons. The record is from RefSeq and is a predicted model, not a curated record.